This 270-nucleotide long non-coding RNA is filed under the name Haliotis rubra (blacklip abalone). RNAcentral describes it as "uncharacterized LOC124258356, transcript variant X3". Lineage: Eukaryota; Metazoa; Mollusca; Gastropoda; Lepetellida; Haliotidae. The record is from RNAcentral.
GUGAGGCUGAUAGGUAGGCUGAUUGUGAGGCUGAUAGGUAGGCUGAUUGUGAGGCUGAUAGGUAGGCUGAUUGUGGGGCUGAUAGGUAGGCUGAUUGUGAGGCUGAUAGGUAGGCUGAUUGUGGGGCUGAUAUGUAGGCUGAUUGUGGGGCUGAUAGGUAGGCUGAUUGUGAGGCUGAUAGGUAGACUGAUUGUGAGGCUAAUAGGUAGGCUGAUUGUGGGGCUGAUAGGUAGGCUGAUUGUGGGGCUGAUAGGUAGGCUGAUAAUGAGG